UGACCUCAGCUCNAGCAAGAAAACCCGCUGAACUUAAGCAUAUCAAUAAGCGGAGGAAAAGAAACUAACAAGGAUUCCCCUAGUAACGGCGAGUGAAGAGGGAAAAGCUCAAAUUUUAAAUCUACCUGGUUUCCAGGUCGAAUUGUAAUUUGAAGAAGCGAUAUCGGUGUUUAGGUCUGGUUCAAGUUCUUUGGAACAAGGCAUCAUGGAGGGUGAGAAUCCCGUGCAUGAUCAGACCAAGAUACUUAAUAUUCGCUUUCUAAGAGUCGAGUUGUUUGGGAAUGCAGCUCAAAAUGGGUGGUAGACUUCACCUAAGGCUAAAUAUCAGCGAGAGACCGAUAGCGAACAAGUACUGUGAAGGAAAGAUGAAAAGAACUUUGAAAAGAGAGUUAAAUAGUACGUGAAAUUGUUGAAAGGGAGACGAUUGAAGUCAGUCAUGCUAGUGAAUAUUCAGUUUGACGGGUUUUGGGUUUGGGAGUAGAGGCAGGGUCAAACCGUUUCUCUUUUGAACUUGGGAUUUGUCAGAUGCACUUUUUCUUUGGCAGGUCAGCGUCGAUUUCGGAGGUUGUAAAAUACUUGGGGUAAGGUAACUCUGCUUCGGUAGAGUAUUAUAGACCUUGAGGGAUGCAGCUUGCGGGAUCGAGGAUUGCAGCAAAUGCCUUUGGCUUGGCGCCUGAUCUCUGGAUGCUACCUCGCUUGUGACAACAUUCUUGCCUCCGGUGAGUACUAAUGCCCAUUAGGUUAGAGCGACCAGAAAUUUGCUAAGGAUGCUGACGUAAUGGCUUUAAACGACCCGUCUUGAAACACGGACCAAGGAG
RNAcentral lists this ribosomal RNA (818 nucleotides) under uncultured Diversisporaceae. RNAcentral's name for it is "eukaryotic LSU rRNA". It matches the Rfam family "Eukaryotic large subunit ribosomal RNA", at positions 1 to 673 of the family's 3401-position model. Lineage: Eukaryota; Fungi; Glomeromycota; Glomeromycetes; Diversisporales. The record is from RNAcentral.